Molecule: long non-coding RNA, 1132 nt
Filed under: Durio zibethinus
Lineage: Eukaryota; Viridiplantae; Streptophyta; Magnoliopsida; Malvales; Malvaceae
Description: long non-coding RNA (DZIB_LNC001261)
Source: RNAcentral
UAAAUUAAAUACCAAAACAAACAGCUGACAGGACAUAAUUUAGACCAUCAUAUUUAGCAGGUGAGAAAUAAUAUCUGAUAGGCUUUGCAUUACGACUCUAAAAUGUUUGCGCACGUUUUUUGAGGCUGCUUUUUUUAAGAUCAUUGAUGAAAAAUCAAUUCCCUACCAAAUCCCGGAAGAAGCCAUUAGUCAAUUUUGUUAGCCUUUUCCCUUGAAUGUUUUAAGUACCUUGGAUGCAAGUGUUCUUCCUUGCAUAAAAAAUAUGUUAUAGAAAUCACAGAGCAAGGCAAAAGCAGCUGCUUUGGCAAUGGCUGCCUGCUCAUGCCCUGCUCUGUGAUCAAAUUAGCUCAUCCCAACAGUAAGCCAAACGAUCUUGACACAUUCAUUCAUCAAAUGAAACAGUAACGCAGACAAUCAACCACUUAAUCAACAAUUCCAUCAGAUGACAAAUUUACAAUAUGUUUCUGUUGUAUGUAUCAGAUUUUAUACAAAACAAGGAAAAGUGAAGAAAGUGUCCAUAUUACUUGAUUUCUUUCACAUAUAACUUCAUUUAUAUAUAGUCCAUGCUUAUUUGGUUUUUGGCCAAGCUCUCAUCUGUUAAAUUGAAAAUAAAUGAUCCUAAGAGAUAACAGACCUACUUCAAAAUCUCUUCUUUAAUUCGCAGCACUAUGAAGACAAUUGAGGCUGUUCCUUUUAGUCAAGUAGGAUCUAAUUUUUCUAAAUGGACAGUCAAAUCUAAGAAGAGAUAACAUCUUUAGUUUGGCAGCUUUUUCUUAAAUUAAUAGCUCCAAAAGUUUUUGCAUUACAUGCAAUUUCUUCCUUGUAAGAAAAGCAUUCUGUUGAGCAGAUGGCACGGCACCCAUUGGGCCAUUUUUAAUCAGGAGGCUAAACACAGUCCUAAGCAUAACAAAUGCAAGAAGGAAAUAGCAGAAGAUAAGAGCAAACAGAUGAUGCAAUCUCUUCCUUAAAAGAUAAAUUUGAAGAGAAAAUUUGGACUUUGGCUGAGUUUGUAUUUACUUAAAUUGUCAACUGAAUAAUAACUUGAGUUUGAUUGAAAACUUGGACUGAUGAAUCUCCAGAACAAGCAAAUUAUCAUUGUUGUAGAGAGGUUAUUGCCUGAUUAGAUGACUAU